This 465-nucleotide ribosomal RNA is filed under the name uncultured bacterium. Its description in RNAcentral is "bacterial SSU rRNA". It matches the Rfam family "Bacterial small subunit ribosomal RNA", at positions 32 to 524 of the family's 1533-position model. The record is from RNAcentral.
AAUCAACGCUGGCGGCGUGCCUAACACAUGCAAGUCGCACGAGAAAGGGUAGCAAUACCUGAGUAAAGUGGCGCACGGGUGAGUAACACGUGACUAAUCUACCCUCGAGUGGGGAAUAACUGAGAGAAAUCUUAGCUAAUACCGCAUAACACUUACGAGUCAAAGCAGCAAUGCGCUUGGGGGAGGAGGUCGCGGCCGAUUAGCUAGUUGGCGGGGUAAUGGCCCACCAAGGCGAUGAUCGGUAUCCGGCCUGAGAGGGCGCACGGACACACUGGAACUGAAACACGGUCCAGACUCCUACGGGAGGCAGCAGUGGGGAAUUUUGCGCAAUGGGGGAAACCCUGACGCAGCAACGCCGCGUGGAGGAUGAAGUAUCUUGGUACGUAAACUCCUUUCGAUUGGGAAGAUAANGACGGUACCAAUAGAAGAAGCCCCGGCUAACUUCGUGCCAGCCGCCGCCGUAAC